UGGGGAAUUUUGGACAAUGGGGGAAACCCUGAUCCAGCCAUCCCGCGUGUGCGAUGAAGGCCUUCGGGUUGUAAAGCACUUUUGGCAGGAAAGAAACGUCAUGGGUUAAUACCCCGUGAAAUUUACGGUACCUGCAGAAUAAUCUCCGGCUAACUACGUGCCAGCAGCCGCGGUAAUACGUAGGGUGCAAGCGUUAAUCGGAAUUAUUUGGCGUAAAGCGUCCGCAGGCGGUUCGGAAAGAAAGAUGUGAAAUCCCAGCGCUAAACUUUGGAACGGCAUUUUUAACUACCGGGCUAGAGUGUGUCAGAGGGAGGUGGAAUUCCGCGUGUAGCAGUGAAAUGCGUAGAUAGGCGGAGGAACACCGAUGGCGAAGGCAGCCUCCUGGGAUAACACUGACGAUCAUGCACGAAAGCGUGGGGAGCAAACAGG
This 429-nucleotide ribosomal RNA is filed under the name Acidobacteriota bacterium. RNAcentral's name for it is "Acidobacteria bacterium partial 16S ribosomal RNA". It matches the Rfam family "Bacterial small subunit ribosomal RNA", at positions 355 to 776 of the family's 1533-position model. The record is from RNAcentral. Lineage: Bacteria; Pseudomonadati; Acidobacteriota.